UUCUCUACCAGACGGUUAAAUCCCACAAUGCAAGAAGCGGUGCCCUCUGCUUGCUUGUUAUUUUCUGACAGUUGAGACGCAUCACUGGAUACAAGGAGAUGCGUGUGUGUGUGUGUGUGAAGUUGUGUCUUGUCUCCGUUUUUGUUUUGCUCUUUUCUGGUCAUGAGACCCGGAAGUUUUUUUUUUUUUAAUCACAUGGCAGAGAGAUAUAAUAAAAACAGAAAAAUGGCGACAGUCACGUUGUGGCGAGUCUAUGCUGCGUCAUUAGAUAAUCUUCAUGCAAAGAUCUCUAAGAACAAAGAGGAGAGGGGAAAGGAGCCCCAGCCGCAAAGGAUCCUGGCAUUGGUUCCUUUCCGUCAAGCGAUUGUAAAUAUAGCCUGGAUCUUGUUUACAUGAAGCAUCCAGCGGGAGGAGCCUGGGAGGAGGAAGAUGGAGGAGUCUCCACGGGCACGGCUUGCUGGAGUGAGCUUCCCAAACAGGAAGGAGGAGCCAAGACGGGGCUGGAGUCUCCCUCAAGCAGCCUGGAAGCUGCCUGGUACGUGCGCUUGUCAGUUUCAGAUUCGCUUCCCCUGCCCUCGACCACUGCCAGGCAGAGCUUCACAUCAGCAGCCCUGGGGAGCUGGGUACCAAGCUAUGGCUGCAGGACAGCUGUGCUCUCACCCCUCCCAGACAAGCGACACAAACUUGUUUGAUGGUGCUUUUGUUCCCACAGUGGCAGGCACUGGCACUUACUUCCUGGCUGAGAUCAGCAAGGGAGAAUGCCAGAGGUGCUUUUCCUAGUCUCUGUGCUCCUGUCCACACCCCUCACCCCCUUUGGAGCCACACCUCCAGUUCCCUCUAGCUUUCACUUACAUAGAAGCGUAUUUACUUAUUUAUUCCAAAGAGAGGGCCUCAGUGCAAGUUCAGCUGGACAAAUGGGGCAGGUGCAGGGCCAGAUCCUAGAUCACCAACUUGUUUCCUGACCUAGUAAGUUAUUCUUUAACAAAGUAGAGAGACAUUUUCUUUCCGUUGGCUAAUAAGUGACAAAGGCCAAGUCCAUGGCCCUGGUUCCUGCCAUGCCAGCCUCUGUGAUAGUUAGCAGAUAUUUUCGGCUCAUGCUGCACUGAAUGCAAAAAGCAUCCCCUCCGCCCACAAAUCAGGGCCGGCUUUAGGAAGUGCGGGGCCCAAUUCGAACAGUUUCCAUGGAUCCCCGGCAGGGAUGACUUUAAAAAAACAAACACACACACACACCCCACAUGUAAAAAAACCCAAAGAACAGGGGGCUUGUUCUCACUGGGCGGUGCUCCGAGUCUUUGGUGGCACUUUGGUGGCAGAUCCUUCAUUCGCUCCAGGUCUUCGGUGGCACUGAAGGACCCACCGCCGAAGUGCCACUGAAGACCUGGAGCGCCGUCAGGUGAGUAAAAAUUAAAAAGGCACCUCUAGCCAGGGAAGGGAUUCUCACUGGGCACGGGGCCCUCUUAGGCAUGGGGCCCAAUUCGGGAGAAUUGGUGGAAUAGGCCUAAAGCCAGCCCUGCCCCCAAUCACUACAUUGAGCUCCCCUUACAUGGGAGAUGUUGGUCCAUAUUCAGCUGUGUUCUAAUAAUGGGGGGGGGGGGGUUCUGAGAAAGAUGCUGGGGGAUCCAGGCAGGUUGCUAAUGUUAAAUUUGUUUGAAUAUUUUCGUGUAUUUUCAGGAAGGGGCCUCUAGGAGCUCUUGUUUCCAGAAAAGUGACUGAAUACUUGUCCACAGACUAUAGCUGAUGAAUGAUUAAUAAUGUUUUAGAAACUUAUUUAUUUAAUUAUUCAUACAUUUGGUACACCAACAGCAGCACUUAGACUUCAUCUGUCAGACUGUUAACUCAACCACUAAUCAAUGUUUAAGAGGGGAAGGAAGUCAAAUAGACUAAAAAGGUAAGUAUUGGUGGAAGGAAUUAAGCAGAACAUAGAUAAAGAAUGGAGCAGAUUUUAUAAACAAUUUCCAUUACAGAAUUUUCCUCGAUGGGAGAGUCUCAUAUUGUUGAAUGUACUUGUCUCCUACCUCACUUACAAAUGAAGAAGCAAAUCUUGAAAAACUAAUGAAGAAUUUAAAGCCAUAGAAAAUAUUGCUUUAAUAACUGUCCUGGCACACUAGAGUCUUUCACCUCUAGGUGCUGUAAACUGCACUGUAGGAAGGCACUCCUGCCAUAUUAAAAUUCCAGCAACUUCCUUAAGGAGUAAAGUCGGUCACUUACCCAGUAGCCAAAAGAUCAAUUAUGUCCUUGUAACUGCAGUUUUCUGCUCUUAAGAUCACACUCAAAGUAAAAUAUUUGUAAUAAAGGUGUAUUUUUUCCCCAUUUUUCCUAGCUUUGGAUAAGACAGACCUCUUCCUAUUCAGUGUCAGAGUCGACCUAUAAAAAUCAGAGAUCUAAUUCCAAGCUACAUGCUAGGAGAAAAGAAAGUAAAGUUGCAUUUGUGGGGAGAGGGUAAAUAGCCAAUUUAGUUUUUAGACUCCAAUCAAAAGAAGUGUUGUUUAAGUCAAAAUGCUCAAGAAACGUGGUAAGUUACCAACCCGAAAGAAGAGAGUAGUGGAAAGAGGGGGCGGAAUGGAAAACAAGCAAAAAUAAAAACAAUGAAGAUUAUUUUUUUCAAAAGCAAAAUCUGACAGCAAAAAAAUAGAACAUAGAAUUGAAAACUUUUAAAUCUGAAUAAUAAGCUGAACAAAAAUACACACCGAAAAAUGCACUUGAGUAAAUUUAUGUACUACAUUGAGAUCAGAGGGACUACCCCUGUACGUUUUCAGGAUUCGGACCUAUGUUACCUGACCAUUGAGGAAAGCUUUCUUUUUAAUCUAGAAAAGAAGGUGUUAAAAAGUGAGAAGGCAGAGUAAAUAGAUCACCUUUUCAUCAGCAAAAUGUAAAUACACCUAAAGCAGAGGGUCGGUAGCCUUUCAAAAGUGGUGUGCUUAGUCUUCAUGUAUUCAUUUUAAUUUAAGGUUUCGCGUGUCAGUAAUACGUUUUAACGUUCUUAGAAGGUCUCUUUCUGUAAGUCUAUAAUAUAUAACUAAAUUAUUGUUGUAUGUAAAGUAAAUAAGGUUUAAGAAGCUUCAUUUAAAAUUAAAUUAAAAUGCAGAGCCCCCCAGACCUGGGCAGCAUGAGUGCCACUGAAAAAUCAGCUUCCAUGCUGCCUUUGGCACGCGUGGCAUAGGUUGCCUACCCCUGAUCUAAAGUAUCCAGCCUUUGUGAUGCUAAUAGAAUGCUCUAAUGACAUUUUUGUACCUUUAUAUUGUUCACAUUUUUGAAAGCCAGGAAACACUUAUUUUUUAUAUAAAUCCUUAAUAAACGUGUGCUUCCAGGUUACCUUACGGUUACUAUUUUCAGAAAAUGGCAGAUUAGUCUAAGGAUGCUGAUAAAUUUGCAGUUGAUGGCAAAUAUAUAUUUUAAUAUUUUUGUACAUAUUUGCCCAUUCAUAUUUGCCUCCUGGAACAAUAUUGUAUAACAUAUUGACUGGUCCCUUGUUUAUAUAACAUAUGUUUGUAAUCUGUUUUAAAAAUGCACAAAUAUUUUUUUUCAGGAAGCUGUGUUUCACAUUUGUCUCUGUAUUGCCCUCUUGUGUUAAAAAUAUGUAAGAGACCAUUUUGGUAGUACUUGGACCCAGCUGAAUGUUAAGCAUUUCUGAAUUUUAAAAGCUUUUUAUUUAACUUAAGGAAAUACAUUGUCAGCUUAGUUGAUUAUUUAUGUUAUCCAUAAAGUUCUUGCUCUGCUCCAUUAGAAAUAUUUAAGUACCACUUACACCAAUUAAGUCCGUCAAAUUCUUAAAUGGAACAUGAUGUGAAAUUUAAAAUCUGUUAAUCAAUUUCUUUCCAUUGUGAAACCUGAUGAAACAUUUAUUUUAAUAUGCUGAUUACAGAACUGAUUCACUAGAUUAGUUGUCUUUAUUCAAAGAGAAAAACUACCAUGACUUUUACAGCAGUACUUCCAACAUAAACCAGAGAAAAAUAUUUUGAUAAAUUUCUUUCAUUGUUUGCAAUGUAAUUCUUGAUAUCAGCCGUUUUCAUUUAGACCUCAGUGUAUGGCCCAAAUGAACCAUCACACAGCCUGAACAAACAAGCCCAUCAGACAGCAACUCUUUCUUCAAAUGCCAGGAUCCUUUCCACAUCCAGUGCUUGUUACUAUUUUGGAUUUGAUCCUGCUCCCACUGAAAUCAAUGGCAAAACUUCAAUGGGAGUAGGAUUGGGCCUCAAAGGACCCCAGUGCUGCAGAUACCCCUGUUGGGAUGUUAGCACAUCUGUAAGCGUUUGCAGAAUGGAGGCCUUAGAUGGUACCGUGAAUCCCACAAGACAGAAGCCUUGUCUGUGUGUGUCAAAGUCCUAGCACUUCCAGUGUGGAACAUAAUACUUUGAAACUGAAAAGGUAUUAUAUCAACAUAAUUAACCCAACUAUUAGAUAAUGGGUCCAGAUCCUCCACCAGUGUAAAUUUGUGCCGCUUCGUUGUCUUAAGUGGAACUAUGCCAAUUAUACCAGUUGAAGAUCUUGCCUAUGUAGUUUAUGUAUGAGAACAGCACUCUACUUCAAAUGCUGAUUGAAACCAGAAAAAAAAAAUGAGGGGAAAAAACCUUCAUUCCAUCAGUGAUUAUCUCCAUGGAACGAGUAAAUUAUUUUUCCCCCUGUUAAAAAUCCAAAUCUACAGAUACUGUAUUUAAGACUUAUUGGUAAAAGAUUGUACAGCUCUGAAAAAUACUUUAAAGCUGCAUUGAAUUUAACUGCACUGAUACCAGUAAACCAAGUAAUUUUCAAAAAGAGUGGAUAAAUUAACUGAAGUUUCAGAACACUUUAAUAAAUACAUGUGGAAAUGAACAAACGGGCAUUAAAUCUGUCAUCCAUGUCCUCGAAGAGCUGAACAUCAGUAUUUGAUGUGAUCUUUAUUUUUGAAACACACAAGAGGAAACACUAUGUAAGCACACAAUAAAUUAAGCACUAUUCUCUAUAUGAUACUAACAGACAUAAUGACUGACAGGCUGCCCUGGCUCAGUUAUCACAGUGCUGAUGCUGUCUAUUCUAAAGGUACAGUACUGUGAUAACUGAAGGAUGGCAGCCAUCUUAGCUUCACAAGAACCCAACAAGCAGAAAUAAGAAGAUCUCCUUAUUUUCUGGAUACCGGACAUGCUUUGUUUAUGGAAGUGAUCAUGUGCUAGAGAAGAAAGAUGCUUGAUGUAAGGGUACAUCUUAACUCACUUGAAGAAAAAAAAAUAAAUGGCUUAAAAAAAAAAAAGACCUUUAGUUCUACUGGAAUAUAAAAAAAAAAAAAGUCACUUUAUAUCUGUUGAGUUUGCCUGAUAAUUGACUGACUUUUUCUACUUGGAAGUUCUUUAAAAAAUUUCAGGCUUUGAAUGAGUACUCUAGGCUUUGAAGAAACAUGCUAUAGAGUUUGAAAGAUGAUUAUUCAUGAAGUAACAUUAGAUGGAGGUCCCUAUCCAUUAUGGAACUCAUUGCCACAAGAAAGAAGAAUGGAUUCAGCACCAGAAGCCCACCUCUUCACCCUGGCUCUCUCAAAUUAAAGACCUCCCCCUCCCCACCCCCGCAGGGAAGGUAGAGAAAAAACACUGACAUUUUAAGUAAAGAAAGAUGCCUGUGUACUGUGGUGAUGAGGACCACACAGGUACCCGGAUGGAUCAACAGAAAAUGAGGCAAGUAGUAGUUACAACAUGCAUACCUUCCUUUCUUCAUGAAUCUAUAAUCCCUCCUGUUUUAAAAAUAAAUAAAAAUCAGUAUCUUAGCCCUUAUAAAUAUUUAUGUACUUUCAGAAGACUAAUUCAGCCUCAACAUCUUGCCAUUUAGGUAAAUAAGUGGUGGGCCAGUAUCCUCAUUUUACUAAUUGGGAGCUAGACCAUAGAGCGACAGGAGUGUGCACUAGGCCCCCGUCAAACUGGUGGCAAAGUUGGAUUAGGAUUCAGGAGCUCCUGGCCCCGUCUCCUGCUCAGUCAACUAUUUUAUACUUGCCUCUCCAAAAUGUAAUGAGAUCAAGACUGAAAGAUCACACACAGCUAGGUGAUUUGAUAAGAGGACUAUAAAAGAACCGGAGAGGAGGUGGCAGAGUAUCUGCUCCUGAUUGAAGCCAGAGUCUCUUAUUUUUAUGAGCAUUAACUUUAAAAUAUAUGUUUGGGCUUUUUUAAAGCUGAGAUUUUUGAUACUCCAUCUUUUGGUGUUUUCCUCAGCAAAGACUAUUGUGUGGAGCCUCUGUCCUGUCCAAAUGUUGUUAUAGAUACGAAGCUGCAAUGCUGGAAAAUUAACACUAGAGGGGACCAUUGGAUCAGUUCUCUUGGAAGUGAAGUUUCAAAGAAACUGUUUCAUAAACAGACAUCUGCACAUGUCAACGUGGUGUCCAUUCUCAGCUCUGUAUACUUCCUAAGGAAGUAUACAUGUGUGACACAGUACCCUUCUUGUUACCUGUGAAGGUUUCAUUGAACAGGUGGUCAAUCAGCAGUGAUCUCCCUUUGUUCUCUGUACUGCUCGUGCUACUUUAGACGGGUUAAGAAAACAUUUCCACAUAGACAGAGUGUCCUGCACCUUCCUCCAAAGCACUGGAUACUGGCCUUUGUAGGAGACAGGACAGUGGGUUUGAUGGACCCCUCCUAUGACCCAGUAUGGUAAUUCCUGCUUUGUUUUACUUCUCUAAUCCUUUAAUAUAGACAGGCACUACCACAGCUCUGGUGCUGGACAUAUCUGGGUCUGUAUUUACCUUAGUGCUACAUAGCUAUUAUUGAACAUCUAGCUGGUUUUCAUUGCUUAAAAGGAAGUUGUGGUGGUGUAGUACUAUUAAAGUAACACUUUAGGAGCACCAUUCUGGCAUCAGGACCCCAUCAUGAUAGGUGCUUUACAUGCAUAGAAUAAAAAGACAGUUCUUCCCCCAAAGAGUUUACAUUCUAAAUAGAGAUAACUAAAUACGUUAACUGUCAACUCUCCUCUUCUCGGUGAGUGUAGACGUAGAAGUCAUUUGAUAUGUGUGUGUGUGUGUGUAUUAUUUUUACAUAGGACAAUUAAAGCAUUAUUUAAAGAAA
This is a long non-coding RNA of Gopherus flavomarginatus (Mexican gopher tortoise), 7010 nucleotides long. RefSeq lists it as uncharacterized. The record is from RefSeq and is a predicted model, not a curated record. The transcript has 2 exons. NCBI's taxonomy places the organism in Eukaryota, Metazoa, Chordata, Testudines, Testudinidae.